AGAUUGAACGCUGGCGGCAGGCCUAACACAUGCAAGUCGAGCGGUAGAGAGGUGCUUGCACCUCUUGAGAGCGGCGGACGGGUGAGUAAUGCCUAGGAAUCUGCCUAGUGGUGGGGGAUAACGUUCGGAAACGGACGCUAAUACCGCAUACGUCCUACGGGAGAAAGCGGGGGACCUUCGGGCCUCGCGCCAUUAGAUGAGCCUAGGUCGGAUUAGCUAGUUGGUGAGGUAAUGGCUCACCAAGGCGACGAUCCGUAACUGGUCUGAGAGGAUGAUCAGUCACACUGGAACUGAGACACGGUCCAGACUCCUACGGGAGGCAGCAAGUGGGGAAUAUUGGACAAGUGGGACGAAAGCCCUG
This 361-nucleotide ribosomal RNA is filed under the name uncultured soil bacterium. RNAcentral's name for it is "bacterial SSU rRNA". It matches the Rfam family "Bacterial small subunit ribosomal RNA", at positions 26 to 385 of the family's 1533-position model. The record is from RNAcentral.